AUGUAAAGAUGCUGUGCCCAUAGGUGCAUGCCAUGCCUGUCAAUGGGGCUAAACAAAAAAGCAGAUGACAGUAGAUCUACGGAUGAUCUGCUCAGUGUGCUCCUGUCCCAAGGGUGAGUUUUGGGGAGACAAUUUGCUGCCCUAGAUGAUCUUGGAUCUAUGCCUGAAUGACUAAUAUUCCAAUGUUUUCCUUUAACAGAGUUAAAUCUGAGCUAAGGCCAAACAGAGUCCCCCUAAAUGGAGCUUGAAGGGUAAUGGCACUCUAGGAGACUGCACGUCUUUUGCUUCACAAUGAUUUCAAGCUCGGCGGACGAGUGGCAAAAUGCUCGCUGAUGUCCCUUUGGAAACAUCAUCAUCAUCAUCGUAAUCAUCUGUAGAGGAACGAUAACGAGCGUCCUGCCUCCCGCUAGGAGAAGACUGCAAGGACAUACUCGAGACAAUACUCACAAUAAAAUAAACCCAACAAUCCCAUAUCUGCUGGGGAAACAGUAAAGCAGUGGGAGCCUUACUUCAUAAGUGGUGGAGUUGCCCAAAAAGCCCAACCAAGCUGGACCCAGAUCUACAAGAUACAGGAAUUCAUUAACUGAAAAUGGCGGCAACACCAGGCCGAGCAUUAUUCCCAUGGACUGGAGGAGUUGCCAAGGUAUCAGAGAAAACAUGUCUUCCAUGUAAUAACUUCAGCCAGACUUCUUCUAGCUAAGAACUGGAAUGAACCAAGA
Xenopus tropicalis (tropical clawed frog) is the source of this 719-nucleotide long non-coding RNA. RefSeq lists it as uncharacterized. Lineage: Eukaryota; Metazoa; Chordata; Amphibia; Anura; Pipidae. The transcript is spliced from 2 exons. The record is from RefSeq and is a predicted model, not a curated record.